AUGCGAUAAGUAAUGUGAAUUGCAGAAUUCAGUGAAUCAUCGAAUCUUUGAACGCACAUUGCGCCCGCUAGUAUUCUGGCGGGCAUGCCUGUUCGAGCGUCAUUUCAACCAUCAAGCCCUAGGCUUGUGUUGGAGCCCUGCGGCUGUCCGCAGCCUCCUAAAAGCAGUGGCGGGCUCGCUAUCACACCGAGUGCAGUAGUUUACUCUUCGCUUAGGGCGUGUGGCGAGUUCCGGCCGUGAAAUCCCCUAUUUCUAAAGGUUGACCUCGGAUCAGGUAGGAAUACCCGCUGAACUUAA
This 297-nucleotide unclassified non-coding RNA is filed under the name uncultured Apiosordaria. Its description in RNAcentral is "partial contains 5.8S ribosomal RNA, internal transcribed spacer 2, and large subunit ribosomal RNA". The stretch from base 1 to 102 matches the Rfam family "5.8S ribosomal RNA", at positions 53 to 154 of the family's 154-position model. Lineage: Eukaryota; Fungi; Ascomycota; Sordariomycetes; Sordariales; Lasiosphaeriaceae. The record is from RNAcentral.